CACGUAGGCGGAUAGGUCAGUCAGAUGUGAAAGCCCGGAGCUUAACUCCGGAACUGCAUUUGAUACUACUUGUCUUGAGUAUGGUAGAGGGGGGUGGAAUUCCCGGUGUAGAGGCGAAAUUCGUAGAUAUCGGGAGGAACACCAGAGGCGAAGGCGACCCCCUGGGCCAUAACUGACGCUGAGGUGCGAAAGCGUGGGGAGCAAACA
This 207-nucleotide ribosomal RNA is filed under the name uncultured bacterium. RNAcentral describes it as "partial 16S ribosomal RNA". It matches the Rfam family "Bacterial small subunit ribosomal RNA", at positions 568 to 774 of the family's 1533-position model. The record is from RNAcentral.